GUGUGGGGCGUCUCGGUAUCUGAUUAUUUGCCGGCCAGGACGAGGGCAUUGGGGGCCAGGCCGAUUUCCUCUCUGCUCCAGCAUUUGGGGACCAGCCAGACGACCCCCACAAUGGCUGGUCACCAAGAUGGCGGCAGGGAUGGGCGCAAGGACGGGGAGCGCCUCCGCGAGCCAGAGCCGUUUCCACCAGUCAGACUCCUGCGCUCCCUCAGAGACUGUUUCUCUCUCUACAUGUAGGAUUGAUGAGAGACAAAACAACUAGGGCGGAUACUACGGCAAUACUGUAAUGUCUGGUUCUAUAGAAUUGACCCUAAUAGCAGCUGCUGGCCCUAAAAGGCAUCUGUUUCCUGGAUUCCUCCCCACCUCCAAGAUGUUUCCACACUUCCUUACUUGGCUUCAGUUGGAUAACGUAGAAUUCUCUGCCCCAAACAUUUUGGAAUAGUGAAGCCAGCUUCUUGGGUGACUCUUUCUUGCAGAACUUUAACAUCACUGUCGGAAGAGGCGCCUGAGUCAGAUUUGGGAGAUCAUGUUUUUCUUUUUUUAAGCGAUGGCCCACAGCAAUGACAAAUUACGGAUCACUUCAAGAGAUUCACUUGGAAUGCUUUCCAUUAGCAACCCGGGAGAUCUGGAAGGUGCCGCCAGUGGGCCCUAGCUAGGCAGACCUAGCGCAUGGAGCAGGUGCAGGUGACUCUCCAGGCUCUCCACAAAGGAAGAGCACAGCUUCCAGGUGGACGCGGCCAGCUGCUGACGGAGGCCCAGCGCCCACUGAGCAACUCUCCAGGCUCCAGCUUUCUCCUUCUAAAAAUGGGUGUCACUUAGCUUCCUUUUAAUAAUUUAAUUAGUAAAUUGGCAUAAAAUGCUGCUGGACUGUGGCAUAUCAAACAGCAAUUGCUUUAAUUAUCAAAGUUACUAAGUAAACGACUUCUCCUUCAUGGCAUGAUUUUUUAUAGCACAUUGACAUGUAUUUUUCUAUAAUUAAGAAUGCACGUUAGGACUGAGACAAAGUAAGAACAGACAUAUCCAUCCAUCGUGCUUAAGCUCUGCCUGUUUGAAUACUCGGAGUGGAAAGCUAUGCUCGCCACCGACCUAAGAAUGUUUCUGGGUUUCAGGAAAACUUUUUCUCCAGUAAAAUGUUUAUAAGGACUUUCCUCUUCACAGCGCCUCUGAGGACGCUCUAGAAAGCUGUUCAUGAAGACGUAAACUCGUGUGCUCCUUCCGUCGUAGCGUCAUUCAAGGGAUUUCUCCCUGCGGUGAGUGCUCUGAGCUUGGGGGACCAGCUCGGUGAUCACGUUUACAAGUUCCCCUACAGGGGCCAUGCGUCUUCAUCAAAUCCUGGUGUUUGCAGGUAUUUUUCUCUGCAUGAGGCAUUUUUAGGCCCCCGUUUCUCAAGAUUCUCCUCCUGCUUCUGUGGACUGGCUCUCUCCCCUCUCCCCUGGGGAUGAAGGUCCCGUGACUGACGCCUGCAGCCCGACGUGGUCUCAGGACCGUCUGGCUGAGCCCCAGGGAUGCCCUUCAGUGGCUCGCAUGUGGGGAGAACUGGCUGACCUUAGGGACUCUCUGGCCUCCUGCCUUCAACCAUGUUCUCAUGCACAAAAUUGGCACCUGGGUACCGAGUGUCCCUGGGGAGGUCGCCAUUCUCAGGGGCUGAGGAAAUAGCAACGCUUGAAAGUGCCA
This is a long non-coding RNA of Talpa occidentalis (Iberian mole), 1674 nucleotides long. RefSeq lists it as uncharacterized. The transcript is spliced from 3 exons. NCBI's taxonomy places the organism in Eukaryota, Metazoa, Chordata, Mammalia, Eulipotyphla, Talpidae. The record is from RefSeq and is a predicted model, not a curated record.